RNAcentral lists this long non-coding RNA (1114 nucleotides) under Homo sapiens (human). Its description in RNAcentral is "non-protein coding lnc-PRDX2-3:10". The record is from RNAcentral. Lineage: Eukaryota; Metazoa; Chordata; Mammalia; Primates; Hominidae.
GCGGGGCGGGGCGGCGCUCUAGGCCGAGCGGGAGGUCGGGGCUGCGGGCGCUCGCUGGUGGCGGACCCGGAGGCUGCUGCGGCGCCGGGGCUCCGUGGCCUGGAUUGAAUCCGAUCGGGAGCCAUGAGCGUGGACAAAGCUGAGCUAUGCGGGUCUCUGCUCACCUGGUUACAGACGUUCCACGUUCCGUCUCCCUGUGCCAGCCCUCAGGACCUGAGCAGCGGCCUUGCCGUAGCCUAUGUGCUGAACCAGAUGUGAGUGGAGCUGAAGGGGAGGAUCCCAAAAGUGUCCCCCAGUCUGCUCAUCCCACCUUCUCGCCCCCAGAGACCCCUCCUGGUUCAACGAGGCAUGGCUCCAGGGCAUCUCGGAAGAUCCAGGUCCCAACUGGAAGCUGAAGGUGACAAGUGGACUCCUGAUUAGAGGACAGACUGGUGAAGAGAUGACCAGGGACGGGCCAGCUAGGCACAUGUCCUGGGUGAUGGGCAGGAAGAGGGACAGAUGUCUGGUGAUCAACCAUUUGUUCAUCCAUUCAUCUAUGGAGUACUCACCCUGUGCCAGGCCUGGGCAUUCAGCAAGGAAUAACACAGACAAAAACCUGCCCCACACAGCCAUCAUUCUAGUGACAAGCAACACAUACACAACCAUAAAAAUUAACUUCCAGGCUGGGCGCAGUGGCUCAUGCCUGUAAUCCCAACACUUUGAGAGGCUAAAGUGGGUGGAUCACCUGGGGCCAGGAGUUCAAGACCAGCCUGGCCAACAAGUUGAAACCCCAUCUCUACUAAAAAUACAAAAAUUAGCUGGGUGGGGUGGUGUGCACCUGUAAUCCCAGUUACUUGGGAGGCUGAGACAUGAGAAUCACUUGAACCUGGGAGGUGGAGGAUGCAGUGAGCUGAGAUUGAGCCAUUGCACUCCAGCCUGGGCAACAGAGCGAGACUCUUGUCUCAAGAAGAAGAAAAAAAGAAAAAGAAAAAGAAAAAGAAAAAACUUUUGAUGCCAGUAGUUCUGUGAAGACAACAAAAAAGCAGGGCUUUGAGAGAGAGCAAUGAGGGCAUAGGUGGCUGAUUACAUCAGAUGGGUUAAUCUCCAAGUGAAAUUUGGGGGAACGGUGUUCCAG